RNAcentral lists this ribosomal RNA (495 nucleotides) under uncultured bacterium. Its description in RNAcentral is "partial 16S ribosomal RNA". It matches the Rfam family "Bacterial small subunit ribosomal RNA", at positions 28 to 507 of the family's 1533-position model. The record is from RNAcentral.
GACGAACGCUGGCGGCGUGCCUAAUACAUGCAAGUAGAACGCUGAAGGAGGAGCUUGCUUCUCUGGAUGAGUUGCGAACGGGUGAGUAACGCGUAGGUAACCUGCCUGGUAGCGGGGGAUAACUAUUGGAAACGAUAGCUAAUACCGCAUAAUAGUAGAUGUUGCAUGACAUUUGCUUAAAAGGUGCAAUUGCAUCACUACCAGAUGGACCUGCGUUGUAUUAGCUAGUUGGUGGGGUAACGGCUCACCAAGGCGACGAUACAUAGCCGACCUGAGAGGGUGAUCGGCCACACUGGGACUGAGACACGGCCCAGACUCCUACGGGAGGCAGCAGUAGGGAAUCUUCGGCAAUGGACGGAAGUCUGACCGAGCAACGCCGCGUGAGUGAAGAAGGUUUUCGGAUCGUAAAGCUCUGUUGUAAGAGAAGAACGAGUGUGAGAGUGGAAAGUUCACACUGUGACGGUAUCUUACCGGAAAGGGACGGCUAACUACGUG